This 253-nucleotide ribosomal RNA is filed under the name uncultured bacterium. RNAcentral's name for it is "partial 16S ribosomal RNA". It matches the Rfam family "Bacterial small subunit ribosomal RNA", at positions 524 to 776 of the family's 1533-position model. The record is from RNAcentral.
UACGUAGGGUGCAAGCGUUGUCCGGAAUUACUGGGCGUAAAGCGCGUGUAGGCGGCAACGCAAGUCGGGCGUGAAAUCCCACGGCUCAACCGUGGAAGUGCACUCGAAACUGCGUAGCUAGAGUCCUGGAGAGGAAGGUGGAAUGCUUGGUGUAGAGGUGAAAUUCGUAGAUAUCAAGCGGAACACCGGUGGCGAAGGCGGCCUUCUGGACAGUGACUGACGCUGAGACGCGAAAGCGUGGGGAGCAAACAGG